RNAcentral lists this ribosomal RNA (404 nucleotides) under uncultured prokaryote. RNAcentral's name for it is "bacterial SSU rRNA". It matches the Rfam family "Bacterial small subunit ribosomal RNA", at positions 355 to 776 of the family's 1533-position model. RNAcentral also lists the same sequence under 1 other name. The record is from RNAcentral.
UGGGGAAUAUUGCGCAAUGGGGGAAACCCUGACGCAGCAACGCCGCGUGAAGGAUGAAGGGCUUCGGAUUGUAAACUUUUGUCUUCGGGGACGAUUAUGACGGUACCCGAGGAGGAAGCCACGGCUAACUACGUGCCAGCAGCCGCGGUAAUACGUAGGUGGCGAGCGUUGUACGGAUUUACUGGGUGUAAAGGGCGUGUAGACGGGUUUGAAAGUCAGGUGUGAAAUGCCGCAGCUUAACUGCGGAGCUGCAUUUGAAACUUCAAAUCUUGAGUGCGGGAGAGGAAAGCGGAAUUCCUAGUGUAGCGGUGAAAUGCGUAGAUAUUAGGAGGAACACCAGUGGCGAAGGCGGCUUUCUGGACCGUAACUGACGUUGAGGCGCGAAAGCGUGGGGAGCAAACAGG